This 494-nucleotide ribosomal RNA is filed under the name uncultured bacterium. RNAcentral's name for it is "partial 16S ribosomal RNA". It matches the Rfam family "Bacterial small subunit ribosomal RNA", at positions 28 to 507 of the family's 1533-position model. The record is from RNAcentral.
GACGAACGCUGGCGGCGCGCUUAACACAUGCAAGUCGAACGGAAAGGCCUGCUUUCCCUUGUGGAUUGAGGGUACUCGAGUGGCGAACGGGUGAGUAACACGUGAGUGAUCUGCCCCCAACUUGGGUAUAAGCCUGGGAAACUGGGUCUAAUUCCCGAUAGGAACGCAGGGUGGUGCCUGUGGUGGGAGACGAUUUUCUAGUGGGUGGGGCUGCGCUCGCGGCCUAUCAGCUUGUUGGUGGGGUAGUGGACUACCACGGCGGCGAAGGGGCGCCGGCCUGUGAGCGGGGACGCUCAGAUUGGGACUCGGCCCCGGCCCCGACUCCUGCGGGAGGCAGCAGUGGGUAGUCAUGGACCAAGGGCGGAAGCCUGAAGCAGCGACGCAGCGUGGGGGAUUACGGCCUUCGGGUUGUAAACUCCUUUCGACGGCGAGGAAGCUACCUGGUUGGAAGGGUGGUGACGGUAGUGGUAGAAGAAGCACCGGCUAACUACGUG